RNAcentral lists this ribosomal RNA (247 nucleotides) under uncultured bacterium. RNAcentral describes it as "partial 16S ribosomal RNA". It matches the Rfam family "Bacterial small subunit ribosomal RNA", at positions 1066 to 1320 of the family's 1533-position model. The record is from RNAcentral.
CGUGAGAUGUUGGGUUAAGUCCCGCAACGAGCGCAACCCUUUUCCCUAGUUGCUACGAAGGGCACUCUAGGGAUACUGCCGGUGACAAACCGGAGGAAGGUGGGGAUGACGUCAAGUCCUCAUGGCCCUUAUGUGUAGGGCUUCACACGUCAUACAAUGGUCGGUACAGAGGGUCGCCAACCCGCGAGGGGGAGCCAAUCCCAGAAAACCGAUCGUAGUCCGGAUCGCACUCUGCAACUCGAGUGCG